GCCGGGGGAAGCUCGCCGGUGAGGCCACGCGCGGGGUGCCCGUCACCCUCCCUCCGCCUCUGGGAAGGUCUGAGAGAAGGGCCCGGGCUGCCCCAGCAGGGCGCCGCCCGCCCGGGCGGGUGAGCCCCCAGCCAUGGGGCCCGGCCGGGGCCGCCUCGGGCAGGAGAAGCGGCCGCGCCUGCGCCGGCGCCCCGCGGAUGUCCAGCCCCGGCCCGGCUUGGGAACGACUCACGGCCGGCGGCGCGAGUGCAAUGGGCCGAGGCAGCGCUGCCCGCGGGGCUGCAACCCAAUUCAGACUACUCUCCCCCGGGC
RNAcentral lists this RNase P RNA (312 nucleotides) under Crocodylus porosus (Australian saltwater crocodile). Its description in RNAcentral is "Nuclear RNase P (ENSCPRG00005013200.1)". It matches the Rfam family "Nuclear RNase P". From Rfam's summary of the family: Ribonuclease P (RNase P) is a ubiquitous endoribonuclease, found in archaea, bacteria and eukarya as well as chloroplasts and mitochondria. Lineage: Eukaryota; Metazoa; Chordata; Crocodylia; Crocodylidae. The record is from Rfam by way of RNAcentral.